GAGACCGAGUCUGCGUCUCUCACAUGGGUAGGCAGACCAUUCCAUAAAUAUUGAGCUCUAUAGGAGAAAGCCCUGCCUCCAGCUGUUUGCUUAGAAAUUCUAGGGACAAUAAGGAGGCCUGCGUCUUGCGACCGUAGCGCACGUGUAGGUAUGUAUGGCAGGACGAAAUCGAAAAGAAGCCCAUCUAAUGCUUUGUAGUUUAGCAGUAAAACCUUGAAAUCAGCCCUAGCCUUAACAGGAAGCCAGUGUAGGGAGGCUAGCACUGGAGUAAUAUGAUCAAAUGUUUUGGUUCUAGUCAAGAUUCUAGGGUUAUAAUUCAGCCAGUAGGUUAAUGUGUUCAGUCAUCAGUCUAUGGUGUUCCUGUAUGUGCAGCUACAGCAGGAUGUGGUUAACACCCAGGUCGGCUUCACUCCACACCCCAGUCGGUUACACACAAGCUCCCUAGGUGUCUCGCCUGCUUCCUACUGCCUGUGAAACCAGGAAGUUGUGUUGGUGCUAGGACGACGAGGACCGGGAAUGCUGAUCUUGUUCUCUCUCCGCCCGCUGUGGAUGAGGCUCACUGUGUGUGUGUGUGUGUGUGUGUGUGUGUGUGUGUGUGUGUGUGCCAACAGACUGUAGCUCCAUAGGCGCUGCCUGUCUGCGCUGAGAUCCAUCCUAUUAGAUGAUUUUCCAGACUUUGGGUGGCUGCUGUCUGUUGUCUGCUGUCGGCUGUGUGUGUGUGUGUGUGAUAGAAAGAGAUUGUGUGAAGUGCAAAGCAGGGUACCGCAAGUCGCUCUGGGUGUCGUUGCCAAUGCAUGUUUUCUUGGCUGUCGACCAGUACAUUCUGUUAGACCAGUGCUGUUGGAAGGAGAGCGUUUACAUUGAGAUCAGAUAAUAUGGCGUUCUGAUAAUCGCUCUGGGUUAUCUGGAGGUAAAUAG
This 918-nucleotide long non-coding RNA is filed under the name Salmo salar (Atlantic salmon). Its description in RNAcentral is "lncRNA (ENSSSAG00000111250.1)". Lineage: Eukaryota; Metazoa; Chordata; Actinopteri; Salmoniformes; Salmonidae. The record is from RNAcentral.